Molecule: ribosomal RNA, 392 nt
Filed under: uncultured bacterium
Lineage: Bacteria
Description: bacterial SSU rRNA
Rfam family: Bacterial small subunit ribosomal RNA
Source: RNAcentral
AAUGAACGCUGGCGGCGCGCCUAAUACAUGCAAGUCGAGCGAGAAGACGUAGCAAUACGUUUGUAAAGCGGCGAACGGGUGAGGAAUACAUGGGUAACCUACCCUCGAGUGGGGAAUAACUAGCCGAAAGGUUAGCUAAUACCGCGUACGCUUCUUGGACUUCGGUUCAGGGAGGAAAGCGAUGCCGAGGGUAUCGCGCUCUUGGAUGGGCUCAUGUCCUAUCAGCUUGUUGGGAGGUAACGGCUCACCAAGGCUUCGACGGGUAGCUGGUCUGAGAGGACGACCAGUCACACUGGAACUGAGACACGGUCCAGACACCUACGGGUGGCAGCAGUCGAGUAAUUUUUCUCAAGUCGGGGGAAACCCUGAAGGAGCGACGCCGCGUGGAGGAU